Triticum aestivum (bread wheat) is the source of this 135-nucleotide non-coding RNA. The record is from Rfam. NCBI's taxonomy places the organism in Eukaryota, Viridiplantae, Streptophyta, Magnoliopsida, Poales, Poaceae.
CUAGUACUCUCUUCGUCCGAAAAUAUUUAUCAUUAAAAUAAACAAAAAGGAAUGUAUCUAGAACUAAAAUAUAUCUAGAUAUAUCUUUUUUUAUUCAUUUUGAUGACAAGUAUUUCUGGACGGAGGGAGUACGUG